UACGUAGGGUGCAAGCGUUGUCCGGAAUUAUUGGGCGUAAAGAGCUCGUAGGCGGUUUGUUGCGUCGGCUGUGAAAUCCCGAGGCUCAACCUCGGGUCUGCAGUCGAUACGAGCAAACUAGAGUGUUGCAGGGGAGACUGGAAUUCCUGGUGUAGCGGUGAAAUGCGCAGAUAUCAGGAGGAACACCGGUGGCGAAGGCGGGUCUCUGGGCAACAACUGACGCUGAGGAGCGAAAGCGGGGGGAGCGAACAGG
RNAcentral lists this ribosomal RNA (253 nucleotides) under uncultured bacterium. RNAcentral's name for it is "partial 16S ribosomal RNA". It matches the Rfam family "Bacterial small subunit ribosomal RNA", at positions 524 to 776 of the family's 1533-position model. The record is from RNAcentral.